RNAcentral lists this transfer RNA (74 nucleotides) under Ailuropoda melanoleuca (giant panda). It matches the Rfam family "tRNA". Rfam says of the family: Transfer RNA (tRNA) molecules are approximately 80 nucleotides in length. The record is from Rfam by way of RNAcentral. Lineage: Eukaryota; Metazoa; Chordata; Mammalia; Carnivora; Ursidae.
GCCUGGCUGGCUCAGUAGGUGUGAGCACGUGGCUUUAGAUGUCUGGGCUGUGGGUUCGAGCCCCACGUUGGGUG